UACGUAGGUGGCAAGCGUUAUCCGGAUUUACUGGGUGUAAAGGGCGUGUAGGCGGGACUGCAAGUCAGAUGUGAAAAUUAUGGGCUCAACCCAUAACCUGCAUUUGAAACUGUAGUUCUUGAGUGAUGGAGAGGCAGGCGGAAUUCCGUGUGUAGCGGUGAAAUGCGUAGAUACACGGAGGAACACCAGUGGCGAAGGCGGCCUGCUGGACAUUAACUGACGCUGAGGCGCGAAAGCGUGGGGAGCAAACAGG
This 253-nucleotide ribosomal RNA is filed under the name uncultured bacterium. Its description in RNAcentral is "partial 16S ribosomal RNA". It matches the Rfam family "Bacterial small subunit ribosomal RNA", at positions 524 to 776 of the family's 1533-position model. The record is from RNAcentral.